GAUAGGUUAAGUUAUAAAGGGCGCAUGGUGGAUGCCUUGGCACUAGGAGCCGAUGAAGGACGGUACUAACACCGAUAUGCUUCGGGGAGCUGUAAGUAAGCUUUGAUCCGGAGAUUUCCGGAAUGGGGGAACCCAAUACUUUUUAAUCGAGUAUUAUCAUUAAGUGAAUACAUAGCUUAAUGAAGGUAGACGAGGG
Molecule: ribosomal RNA, 196 nt
Filed under: Latilactobacillus sakei
Lineage: Bacteria; Bacillati; Bacillota; Bacilli; Lactobacillales; Lactobacillaceae
Description: Lactobacillus sakei partial 23S ribosomal RNA
Rfam family: Bacterial large subunit ribosomal RNA
Source: RNAcentral